UACGAAGGGUGCAAGCGUUACUCGGAAUUACUGGGCGUAAAGCGUGCGUAGGUGGUUGUUUAAGUCUGCUGUGAAAGCCCUGGGCUCAACCUGGGAAUUGCAGUGGAUACUGGGCGACUAGAGUGUGGUAGAGGAUAGUGGAAUUUCCGGUGUAGCAGUGAAAUGCGUAGAGAUCGGAAGGAACAUCUGUGGCGAAGGCGACUAUCUGGGCCAACACUGACACUGAGGCACGAAAGCGUGGGGAGCAAAC
RNAcentral lists this ribosomal RNA (250 nucleotides) under uncultured bacterium. RNAcentral's name for it is "partial 16S ribosomal RNA". It matches the Rfam family "Bacterial small subunit ribosomal RNA", at positions 524 to 773 of the family's 1533-position model. The record is from RNAcentral.